CGAUGUGAACACAGACCCUUCUGCAUACCGCAUGUCACAUUCAGCGCGCAUGUCCUUCCCGCCUGCACAGCUCCCAGACUCGCCCGCCGCCCCGAAGCUGUUCGGCCUCCUUUCUAGCCCGCUUUCCAGCCUCGCAAGGUUCUUCUCUCACCUUCUCCGGCGACCCCCUCCCGAGGCUCCCCGGAGGCGCCUGGACUUCUCCCCCCUGCUUCCCGCCCUGCCGGCCGCCCGGCUCUCGAGGGGGCACGAGGAGCUGCCGGGCCGCCUCUCGCUCCUGCUCGGGGCGGCGCUGGCACUGCCCGGCCGACCCUCGGGGGGUCGUCCGCUGAGGCCCCCCCAUCCGGUAGCCAAGCCCAGGGAAGAAGACGCCACCGCUGGGCAGAGCUCGCCUAUGCCGCAGAUGGGAUCAGAGCGGAUGGAGAUGCGGAAGCGGCAGAUGCCCGCCGCCCAGGACACACCAGGCGCCGCCCCAGGCCAGCCCGGAGCGGGGAGUCGCGGGUCCAACGCAUGCUGCUUCUGCUGGUGCUGCUGUUGUAGCUGCUCGUGUCUCACUGUUAGAAACCAGGAAGAUCAGAGGCCCACAAUAGCUUCCCACGAACUCAGAGCAGAUCUUCCAACCUGGGAAGAAAGCCCUGCUCCUACUCUGGAAGAAGUCAACGCCUGGGCUCAGUCAUUUGACAAAUUAAUGGUCACUCCAGCAGGAAGGAAUGCAUUCCGUGAAUUCCUCCGAACAGAAUUCAGUGAGGAAAAUAUGCUCUUCUGGAUGGCCUGUGAGGAACUG
RNAcentral lists this long non-coding RNA (781 nucleotides) under Homo sapiens (human). RNAcentral's name for it is "long non-coding RNA NONHSAT215797.1". Lineage: Eukaryota; Metazoa; Chordata; Mammalia; Primates; Hominidae. The record is from RNAcentral.